AUCAAUCCGCUAACCAAGCCACUUCUUGAUUCUCAAAGCUUUGAUGGUAAAGUCAAAGAUCUUAUGAGUAUUUGGGCUUGAAUCGUAUAACAAGGAAGCACUACUUUACUUUUCGU
Molecule: small RNA, 116 nt
Filed under: Arabidopsis thaliana (thale cress)
Lineage: Eukaryota; Viridiplantae; Streptophyta; Magnoliopsida; Brassicales; Brassicaceae
Description: ATSL037400
Source: RNAcentral